GCCGUCACGUGACUUAAGUCACGUGUCUGCAAGGGGUGAAUAAAACCAUCACCAUUACCCAAAUACAGCUCAGUUCUGUAAGUGUUUUUAUUGUUUUCUGAUGUUUUUAUGUUAGAAAGGGAAAUGUGUUUAAGAUUAUUCCCUAUCUUUUGACAUUUCGUGGAUUAUUUUACGGAAGCUAGCAACAGUGUUCCGUACAGUGCUCCCUGCCAUAGGGAAACGUUCAUUUCGUGGGUAACAGUAAUCUGUACAGUUAACCUUUUACGAUCAAAUGCAAUUAAUUAUUUCCAGGUCAAUAAAAACUAUAAAUACCUCUGACAACCUUGUCUUGUCCUCUUUGAUCUCUGACCGUGGAGAGUAUUUGUUGACCAGCGAACAAAGCAACUACCGAGUAAGUAUGUCAACACACAGCAUAUUUUAGCGAUACCGGAAGAAUAUUUAAAAAUGGCGCCGGGGGAGGGUUUAACCUUCGCCCUAAAUGACAUAGGGGAAGACUUUAAACAAGAUUUGUGAAAAUAUGUGGUAAAAUGUAUAUGUGUAACGUAUUGAGUUCCGGGGAUGACGUUGCGGGACAGGAAACCGUGGGCAACGCCAUUUUGGCAGCAUUCGGCAGAUUGGCAGACUGUGGUGGUGAAGAAGGCUAAACAUGGUAGAUAACUGUUGUGCACCAGGUUGCACAAAUAAACGAGGGAAAAAGAAAGGUUUGUCGUUUUACCGCAUUCCUAAAGAUGUGGAGAGGCGAGCUAGGUGGAUCAGUGCCAUUAAAAGAGCUAGGAGCAAGCAAAACAAGGCUGAAAGAUGAGACCCCCCAGCCGUUGGAUUCCGCUUGUGCAGCGAUCACUUCAUAUCAGGUAAGUUACCGAAUAUAAAGCUUACUAACAUAAGUAUCUUCAUUAUUUAAUAGGCUAUAAUUGUGGUUUCUGAUCAGUUUAAUACUAGCUAGUUGAAUUACAGCAUGCAAUUCGUGGGGCUAACAAUGUCAUAUUUUGUAAGCUAGUGCUAACGUAGUAAACAAAACCCAGUUCAAUACUGAAAUGUUUCUAUUUAUUUUUGUAGGGAGAAAGAGUGAUAAUCCCUUGAGUCCGGACUUUGUUCCAUCUAUUUUCAACUACGUGCCAUCUCCAGAGAAGAGGAAAAGAAAAAUGAGGUUUUCAACAGACGACAGAAAGCAAAGCUACAGAAGAUAGCUUUGUCUGCUCUAUCUGCAAAAAGCCAUCCCUCUCAGAGCAUCAACCGAUUGUCCCCAAGACGGCAACAAGGACCCUACUGCAGACCAAACUCCCACCACAGAGCCUUUUGAAUCUACCCAUGAAGAACCUGGAAAUGAUGUCCAGCCUGUUCUCCAUGAGGAUGAUCCAGCAACUCCACCAUGCAGCACUGAAACCUGCGGUAAACGCAUCCAAUCUCUUGAGCAAGAAUGCCAAGCUUUGAGGACUGAGAAUAUGUUGUUGAAAGAAAAAAUUAAUAGGACUACACUGAAUGAGAUGAGCUUGCAUAACGAUGAUAAAAGAGUUAAUACUCUCACUGGUUUAUCAACAUAUUCAAUUCUCAUGGCAAUUUUUCAUAUUGUGGCUCCUUUUCUCAAACUUAAAUCUGGUUUAACAUGUUUUCAGCAGUACAUGUUAACUUUAAUAAAGCUCAGAAUGAACUUG
Molecule: long non-coding RNA, 1652 nt
Organism: Alosa alosa (allis shad)
Lineage: Eukaryota; Metazoa; Chordata; Actinopteri; Clupeiformes; Clupeidae
Exons: 2
Source: RefSeq, a predicted model, not a curated record